This 508-nucleotide ribosomal RNA is filed under the name Botryosphaeria dothidea. Its description in RNAcentral is "eukaryotic LSU rRNA". The stretch from base 156 to 309 matches the Rfam family "5.8S ribosomal RNA". The record is from RNAcentral. Lineage: Eukaryota; Fungi; Ascomycota; Dothideomycetes; Botryosphaeriales; Botryosphaeriaceae.
GAUCCUCCCACCCUUUGUGUACCUACCUCUGUUGCUUUGGCGGGCCGCGGUCCUCCGCGGCCGCCCCCCUCCCCGGGGGGUGGCCAGCGCCCGCCAGAGGACCAUCAAACUCCAGUCAGUAAACGAUGCAGUCUGAAAAACAUUUAAUAAACUAAAACUUUCAACAACGGAUCUCUUGGUUCUGGCAUCGAUGAAGAACGCAGCGAAAUGCGAUAAGUAAUGUGAAUUGCAGAAUUCAGUGAAUCAUCGAAUCUUUGAACGCACAUUGCGCCCUUUGGUAUUCCGAAGGGCAUGCCUGUUCGAGCGUCAUUACAACCCUCAAGCUCUGCUUGGUAUUGGGCACCGUCCUUUGCGGGCGCGCCUCAAAGACCUCGGCGGUGGCGUCUUGCCUCAAGCGUAGUAGAACAUACAUCUCGCUUCGGAGCGCAGGGCGUCGCCCGCCGGACGAACCUUCUGAACUUUUCUCAAGGUUGACCUCGGAUCAGGUAGGGAUACCCGCUGAACUUAA